UCAAUAUUUCUAUUUUGAUUCCAGCCUCCAGAAUAUUCAAUGAAAGAUUAUUUUACGGUUACUAAUUAAAAAGUAAAACUUUUCGGAUAAAAUUUAAAUCUUUCAUUAUGAUGAAAAAUGAAAUGCUGAAUUUGGAUGACAAGACUUCAUUGAUUAUAAGAAAUUGCUCAGAUUUAUCAAAAAAUUACGCCGCACUAAGAAACACAAGUAAUUUUACUCAAUGUAAGACAGCUAGUGAUUGUAAAUGUGAAAUUACUAAUCCAUCUAAAGUGUCUCAAGCUUUGAAUGAUUAUGCUGAAAAAAUGUCAGAAAUGGCAAGAAUUAAAGACGAAAAACUGUUGAAAAUAUGUCAAGAAAUAAAAGGAUUGAAGGACUUAACUCAAAUAAAGAAAAACAAUGGACUUGAAACAUCUAACACUGCGAGUGACGAUAUUGCGAGUUUCGAGAAGAAUUGGAUCCAAACGACUGUAAUAAAUUCUUCCUUUACUGAAGAAAAAUUUACCGAGUUGUCUUUAAAUCUUCGAAAAGGUCCAACUAACUGCGACAUAACUGUUGACGACUUUUUAACCAUGGACAAUGAUAACCAUCUUCAAACUACCGACAAAAGAAUUGUUUUACUGCAAGAUGGCAUAGAUGAAGCGAUGCAAAACGACUUCUCCACUCCGCAACAAAUUAGUAUAGAACAUCCAGAGUUUUUAAAAAAAUCAAAAAAAGAAACACAAGAAAUUAAAGAUCAAGAUCAAGCAAUUGCAUAUCCACAGUCAUCAGCAGAACGCCCGUAUGUUUGUUUGAAAUGUCAGAAAACUUUCAAGAGAAAUUUGCAUUUAAGAAGACAUUUUACGGUGGCGCACACGCAGAGCAAAAACUUCAAAUGUGAUAUUUGUGAAAAAUUAUUUUCUCGCAAAGAUUAUCUUGAUAAGCACAUUGCAGGACAUCAAAAAAAGGAUUUGAAAAUAAAACUUCUCGAGCAAGGCAUCGUUGUGCGAACAAAAAUAUUUUCGAAGUCAGGAAAAUAAAACCAUAUGCCCAAACAACCAUUUAAAAAGUGAGAAAAAUAGGUAGGUACUGCUUAUUUCAUUUUAUAAGUCUACCUACAUAUUUUCAAAUUCUGUACCUAACUACCUGGUUCAUAUUUUAUGUCAACGAAAUAUAUACCUAGGUACUCAUGAA
This is a long non-coding RNA of Planococcus citri (citrus mealybug), 1170 nucleotides long. RefSeq lists it as uncharacterized. The transcript has 2 exons. NCBI's taxonomy places the organism in Eukaryota, Metazoa, Arthropoda, Insecta, Hemiptera, Pseudococcidae. The record is from RefSeq and is a predicted model, not a curated record.